CCGGCAACUUCCGUUUCCUCUGUCUUUCUCUCUGCGCUGCAGUAAUGGUGUGUUAGCGGGCGGCAAGCUCCCGUUCGAAAUCUACCGCCAUCCGCCGUCCCAAAGCUCUCUAUCGGACUGCGUGCAGCAGGGCAGGACACCUACAACACCCCUCGAAACAAAGAGGGCAGAACUCUUAAAGAUGCCAGGAAGAAGUUUUAAAAGGAUUCAAGAACCAAAAGUCCUCAUGAAGUUUUCAUCUGAGGGGAUUGCUGCUUCUGAGGUCCCCGACUGGGAAUGUUUGAAGUACCCGAGCACCUUCUCGCUGCCUCUGCAGGGUGUCCGUGAAGGUGGAGGUUGAGAUGGGGAAGUGUCUGACUCUGAUGUCAGCGGCGUUGCUUCAGGGUGUCUGUGCGAUGAAGGCAGAGGCUGACUGAGAUGGGAAAGUGACUGCAUUUGAUGACGGCGCCACCCCUCCAGGUUGACUGUGCACUGAAGGUGGAGGCUGAGAUGGGAAUGUGACUGUGUCUGACGCUAGCACUGCUGCUCCAGGGUGUCCGUGAAGGUGGAGGUUGAGAUGGGGAAGUGUCUGACUCUGAUGUCAGCGGCGUUGCUCCAGGUUGACUGUGCACUGAAGGUGGAGGCUGAGAUGGGAAUGUGACUGUGUCUGACGCUAGCACUGCUGCUCCAGCACAGAUUCUCAACUGUGGAGCAGAUGAGAGGACUCGCAAUUGGAAUAGUCACAGCUUUUUACUGGAAAGACUGCUGGAGCCCAAAUCCUGGAGUCUGUUGUUAUUUGAUGUUUAUUAAAACAAAUACACACUG
Molecule: long non-coding RNA, 804 nt
Organism: Hypanus sabinus (Atlantic stingray)
Lineage: Eukaryota; Metazoa; Chordata; Chondrichthyes; Myliobatiformes; Dasyatidae
Exons: 9
Source: RefSeq, a predicted model, not a curated record